AGAUUGAACGCUAGCGGGAUGCUUUACACAUGCAAGUCGAACGGCAGCGCGGACUUCGGUCUGGCGGCGAGUGGCGAACGGGUGAGUAAUAUAUCGGAACGUGCCCAGUAGCGGGGGAUAACUACGCGAAAGCGUGGCUAAUACCGCAUAAGACCUUCGGGUGAAAGCCGGGGACCUUCGGGCCUGGCGCGGAUAGAUGAGCCGAUGUCGGAUUAGCUUGUUGGCGGGUAAAGGCCCACCAAGGCGACGAUCCGUAGCUGGUCUGAGAGGAUGAUCAGCACACUGGAACUGAGACACGGUCCAGACUCCUACGGGAGGCAGCAGUGGGGAAUAUUGGACAAUGGGCGCAAGCCUAGAGUCCAGCCAUACCGCGUGGGUAGAAGGAAGGCCUUCGGUUGUAAACCUCUUUCCAGCGAGGACGAAGCGACGAAGUGACGGUAC
This 441-nucleotide ribosomal RNA is filed under the name uncultured soil bacterium. RNAcentral describes it as "bacterial SSU rRNA". It matches the Rfam family "Bacterial small subunit ribosomal RNA", at positions 26 to 478 of the family's 1533-position model. The record is from RNAcentral.